This 537-nucleotide long non-coding RNA is filed under the name Sinocyclocheilus anshuiensis. Its description in RNAcentral is "lncRNA (ENSSANG00000015809.1)". Lineage: Eukaryota; Metazoa; Chordata; Actinopteri; Cypriniformes; Cyprinidae. The record is from RNAcentral.
UUUGAUCCUUCCAGACGCACACACACACUCACACACAGAGAUAUGAAGGCAGUGUGUCUCAUGAGUAUUGAUUAUAUUUCUCUCUGCUGGCUGCUGCUGUGGUGAGGGGUUUUCUGACCCGUUGUCUCUUGAGCACUGAACGCGUGUCGCGCCUCAUCAGGACCAUCACAGAUAAUAAAGAGAAGGGAUCCCUCUCUGCUGCCACCAGAGAAGCUUUAGAACGCAAGAAUCUCAUGUUUGAAACACAGACGACACACGAGACGCACGACAUUCACAUCAAGCCUCUUCCUCCUGGAGAAACGCAUCACUUCCUGCUGUCUGUCGUCAGGCUCUCGUUACUGUACAGAGCUGAUGAUCUGAAACGAUUCCGUCCUGACAGACACUUUCUGUGAGAUUUACACACAUCCAAACAUGCCCAGGUCAUAUUUCACCCCAAAACCAACAGAAAAUCAAGUCAAUUUUUAUGACCAUUAAAAUCUAAAUUAAUUUAUGCAAAAAAGCCAAUUUAUUUGCAUAUAUAUAUAUGUAUAUAAUUUU